RNAcentral lists this ribosomal RNA (403 nucleotides) under uncultured bacterium. RNAcentral's name for it is "partial 16S ribosomal RNA". It matches the Rfam family "Bacterial small subunit ribosomal RNA", at positions 28 to 526 of the family's 1533-position model. The record is from RNAcentral.
GACGAACGCUGGCGGCGUGCCUAAUACAUGCAAGUCGAACGCAGUGGGGACGGGUGAGUAACACGUGGGUAACCUCCCAUCAGAGGGGAUAACACUUGGAAACACGUGCUAAACCGAUACUGAUGGAUGGACCCGCGGUGCAUUAGCUAGUUGGUGAGGUAACGGCUCACCAAGGCCACGAUGCAUAGCCGACCUGGGAGGUGGCGCGGCCACAAUGGGACUGAGACAGGGCCCAUACUCCUACGGGAGGCAGGCGUAGGGAAUCGUCGGCAAUGGACGAAAGCCUGACCGAGCAACGCUGAGUGAGUGAAGAAGGUUUUCGGAGCGUAAAUCUCUGUUGUUAGAGAAGCAGUAUCGAACCAGAAAGCCACGGCUAACUACGUGCCAGCCGCCGCGGUAAUUC